RNAcentral lists this transfer RNA (72 nucleotides) under Pangasianodon hypophthalmus (striped catfish). It matches the Rfam family "tRNA". Rfam says of the family: Transfer RNA (tRNA) molecules are approximately 80 nucleotides in length. Their secondary structure includes four short double-helical elements and three loops (D, anti-codon, and T loops). Further hydrogen bonds mediate the characteristic L-shaped molecular structure. tRNAs have two regions of fundamental functional importance: the anti-codon, which is responsible for specific mRNA codon recognition, and the 3' end, to which the tRNAs corresponding amino acid is attached (by aminoacyl-tRNA synthetases). tRNAs cope with the degeneracy of the genetic code in two manners: having more than one tRNA (with a specific anti-codon) for a particular amino acid; and 'wobble' base-pairing, i.e. permitting non-standard base-pairing at the 3rd anti-codon position. Lineage: Eukaryota; Metazoa; Chordata; Actinopteri; Siluriformes; Pangasiidae. The record is from Rfam by way of RNAcentral.
UCCCUGGAGGACUAGUGGUUAGGCCACAGCACUCUCACCACUGCAGCCUGGGUUCAAUUCCCAGCAAGAGAA